This 1008-nucleotide ribosomal RNA is filed under the name Triticum aestivum (bread wheat). Its description in RNAcentral is "partial small subunit ribosomal RNA". Lineage: Eukaryota; Viridiplantae; Streptophyta; Magnoliopsida; Poales; Poaceae. The record is from RNAcentral.
AAAAUGCCUAAACUUUACAAAUACCCUCCGGGUAGUAUCAAACACAGAUUCUCUACCAUUAGGUGGUGUAAGGCAGUUGCUGAUUUAACUGACAUCCGGAAGUCAUAUGUUACGAAAUAUGAGCUUGAUCAUCUCCUGAACAUUCACCCUCAUUUAAUGAUUCCAAUUCCAGUACUGCAAUGGGUUGCGAACCACUUAAAUUGUAAUGGAACAGGAGUUUUCAGGAAGGGUCAAAAGAUAAUUCAUCUGAGAAGGGAAAUGGUAAUUCAAGUUUUUGGUAUUCGUUCUAGUUCCGUGCCUUUUCCUAUGGACAGCACAGAUCAAGUUAUCGUGGCUAGAGUAUUGGAACUUAGGUCUGAGUAUCUUGGUGCUGGGGAGAAGAACAUUUCAUUUGAUAACAUAAUCACCAAGAUGAAAAAUGAUGAGACUGAGGAAGGCUUCAUACGGAGCUUCAUGUUUCUGUUCAUAACAUCUGUUUUAUGUCCAACCACUCGGAACUAUGCAAACUGGAAACUUCUUUAUGGGCUGGAUGACAUUACCAAGCUGAAGACCUUUGAUUUGGCUCAGUUGUGCAUUGAUCACCUGAACAAUGAAAUUGAUAACUUCAGCACUAAACUCUUCAAUAGAGCUGAAGUUCCAUUGAAUGAUUCAAUCUAUGUUGGUGGAUGUUUACCGUUGGCUGCUAUUGUGUAUCUGGACUUUGUAGACUUCACAAAAGCUUCUAAACAACGAAACAUCAAUUAUGGAGUCCCUAGAAUUGCACAUGUUCAGAAUGAAGACUUUGACUAUCUAGCUACAGUGAAUCUGAACAGAGCUUCCAAGAAGAGUUUUGCAUUGGGUUUCUUACCAUUGAAAGACAUCUCUACGACACCUUAUAGUGCUCGUGCAAUUGUAUUGGCUGAGGAGAAGUGGUCCAAAGCGCCAGAGUCUUUUCAUAAUGAUGAAAAUGACAUUCCAAACCAAAAUGACAGAGAAAAUGUUGCAUCUACUUCGAACAACAAUCCAGAA